AAAAGAUGAGACUUUACCCUUGAAGCUCUCUUAGAUGCUUUCUAAGUUUUCACCUUUUAUUUUUUUUAUUUUUUAUUUUUAUAUUUUAAAAAGCCUUCUUCCUUACUUAGUCCCCACAUAUUCUUCACAUAGAGGUAUUAAAGAUGAUACCCUCCACUUCAUGCACACCAAACAUAAUGCAUAGGUGAAUAAGAUGACCAAGAGGAGGUGACGUGCUAGCCUUCUCCUCUUAGGACCAAUUUUUGC
Molecule: long non-coding RNA, 246 nt
Filed under: Prunus persica (peach)
Lineage: Eukaryota; Viridiplantae; Streptophyta; Magnoliopsida; Rosales; Rosaceae
Description: long non-coding RNA (PPER_LNC000765)
Source: RNAcentral